RNAcentral lists this ribosomal RNA (488 nucleotides) under uncultured bacterium. Its description in RNAcentral is "partial 16S ribosomal RNA". It matches the Rfam family "Bacterial small subunit ribosomal RNA", at positions 28 to 507 of the family's 1533-position model. The record is from RNAcentral.
GACGAACGCUGGCGGCGUGCUUAACACAUGCAAGUCGAACGAAAAUACCAAGCUUGCUUUGUUGAUUAGUGGCGAACGGGUGAGUAACACGUGAGUAACCUGCCCCUUACUUUCCUGGAUAACUGCUCGAAAGUGUAGCUAAUACGGGAUAUUCUUACCAGCCUGCAUGGGUUGGUUUGUAAAGGUUGUUUUUCUGGUAAGUGAUGGGCUCGCGGCCUAUCAGCUUGUUGGUGGGGUGAUGGCCUACCAAGGCUUUGACGGGUAGCCGGCCUGAGAGGGUGGAAGGUGAGACUGGGACUGAGAUAAGGCCCAGAAGCCUACGGGAGGAAGGAGUGGGGAAUAUAGCAGAAUGGGCGCAAGCCUGAUGCAGCGACGCCGGGUGAGGGAUGAAGGCCUUCGGGUUGUAAACCUCUUGCGUCAGGGAACAAGGCACUGCUUUUUUGGUGGUGUUGAGGGUACCUGGAUAAGAAGCGCCGGCUAACUACGUG